CCUACGGGUGGCAGCAGUAGGGAAUUUUUCACAAUGGGGGAAACCCUGAUGCAGCGACGCCGCGUGGGUGAAGAAGCGCCUCGGCGCGUAAAGCCCUGUCAGCAGGGAAGAAAAUGACGGUACCUGAAGAAGAAGCCCCGGCUAACUACGUGCCAGCAGCCGCGGUAAUACGUAGGGGGCAAGCGUUAUCCGGAUUUACUGGGUGUAAAGGGGGCGCAGACGGCGAUGCAAGCCAGGAGGGAAAGCCCGGGGCCCAACCCCGGGACUGCUCUUGGAACUGCGUGGCUAGAGUGCAGGAGGGGCAGGCGGAAUUCCUGGUGUAGCGGUGAAAUGCGUAGAUAUCAGGAGGAACACCGGUGGCGAAGGCGGCCUGCUGGACUGCAACUGACGUUGAGGCCCGAAAGCGUGGGGAGCAAACAGGAUUAGAUACCCGGGUAGUC
RNAcentral lists this ribosomal RNA (440 nucleotides) under uncultured bacterium. RNAcentral describes it as "partial 16S ribosomal RNA". It matches the Rfam family "Bacterial small subunit ribosomal RNA", at positions 338 to 795 of the family's 1533-position model. The record is from RNAcentral.